Molecule: long non-coding RNA, 1093 nt
Filed under: Salmo salar (Atlantic salmon)
Lineage: Eukaryota; Metazoa; Chordata; Actinopteri; Salmoniformes; Salmonidae
Description: lncRNA (ENSSSAG00000107459.1)
Source: RNAcentral
CAGGUGUAACCUGUCCGUACAGUAACUCAGUCAUGUGGUGUAGUACAGGUGUAACCUGUCCGUACAGUAACUCAGUCAUGUGGUGUAGUACAGGUGUAACCUGUCCGUACAGUAACUCAGUCAUGUGGUGUAGUACAGGUGUAACCUGUCUGUACAGUAACUCAGUCAUGUGGUGUAGUACAGGUGUAACCUGUCUGUACAGUAACUCAGUCAUGUGGUGUAGUACAGGUGUAACCUGUCCGUACAGUAACUAUGUCAUGUGGUGUAGUACAGGUGUAACCUGUCCGUACAGUAACUCAGUCAUGUGGUGUAGUACAGGUGUAACCUGUCCGUACAGUAACUCAGUCAUGUGGUGUAGUACAGGUGUAACCUGUCCGUACAGUAACUCAGUCAUGUGGUGUAGUACAGGUGUUACCUGUCCGUACAGUAACUCAGUCAUGUGGUGUAGUACAGGUGUAACCUGUCCGUAGAGUAACUCAGUCAUGUGGUGUAGUACAGGUGUAACCUGUCCGUACAGUAACUCAGUCAUGUGGUGUAGUACAGGUGUAACCUGUCCGUAGAGUAACUCAGUCAUGUGGUGUAGUACAGGUGUAACCUGUCCGUACAGUAACUCAGUCAUGUGGUGUAGUACAGGUGUAACCUGUCUGUACAGUAACUCAGUCAUGUGGUGUAGUAUAGGUGUAACCUGUCCGUACAGUAACUCAGUCAUGUGGUGUAGUACAGGUGUAACCUGUCUGUACAGUAACUCAGUCAUGUGGUGUAGUACAGGUGUAACCUGUCUGUACAGUAACUCAGUCAUGUGGUGUAUUACAGGUGUAACCUGUCCGUACAGUAACUCAGUCAUGUGGUGUAGUACAGGUGUAACCUGUCCGUACAGUAACUCAGUCAUGUGGUGUAGUACAGGUGUAACCUGUCCGUACAGUAACUCAGUCAUGUGGUGUAUUACAGGUGUAACCUGUCCGUACAGUAACUCAGUCAUGUGGUGUAGUACAGGUGUAACCUGUCCGUACAGUAACUCAGUCAUGUGGUGUAGUACAGGUGUAACCUGUCCGUACAGUAACUCAGUCAUGUGGUGUAGUACAGGUGUUACCUG